UACGUAGGGUGCGAGCGUUGUCCGGAAUUACUGGGCGUAAAGAGCUUGUAGGCGGUUUGUCGCGUCUUCUGUGAAAACUUGGGGCUCAACCUUAAGCUUGCAGGGGAUACGGGCAGACUAGAGUACUUCAGGGGAGACUGGAAUUCCUGGUGUAGCGGUGAAAUGCGCAGAUAUCAGGAGGAACACCGGUGGCGAAGGCGGGUCUCUGGGAAGUAACUGACGCUGAGAAGCGAAAGCAUGGGUAGCAAACAGG
RNAcentral lists this ribosomal RNA (253 nucleotides) under uncultured bacterium. Its description in RNAcentral is "partial 16S ribosomal RNA". It matches the Rfam family "Bacterial small subunit ribosomal RNA", at positions 524 to 776 of the family's 1533-position model. The record is from RNAcentral.